Long non-coding RNA from Mesocricetus auratus (golden hamster), 1016 nucleotides. RefSeq lists it as uncharacterized. The record is from RefSeq and is a predicted model, not a curated record. The transcript is spliced from 3 exons. Lineage: Eukaryota; Metazoa; Chordata; Mammalia; Rodentia; Cricetidae.
GGAAGAGGCGGGGUCCGCAGCCAGCCCAAUCUCAUUAGUGGCCUAGUUGAUACUCAGUCUCCAGCCAACAUGCCAGAGAAGGAUGUGAAGAUGAGGAUUUGUCUCACUGGAUUCCAAGCAGAUUUACAGCACUGAUGUGGUGUGUGAUCACAGCAAUGCGAAGUAACACAGUGACCUCAUCUGGUGUGACUUGGGUGGAUGACGGGGACAGUGGCCCUGGGAUGAACAUGAACCAAGGGGAGCAAGUGAAGUCACGGUGAGAGAGUGGCCAUCUGCUCACUGAGGAGAGAGGCCGUGAGAGCAGCUAAGUUGCCACCACCUUGAUCUUACACUUCAGGUCACUAGAACUGUGAAAAAGUAAACUUACGUUGCUUAAGUCACUCUGUCAACAAUAUUUUGUGAUGGCAGCCCUCUCAGACCAUCACAAACCCAAUGUUCAAAUAACAGGGUACUUGGGAAAUAGGUUGUAGUUCAGCCGUCCUAUGGAAAACAGUAUUGCCCCAAGAUAUACCAAUGCCAGCUUGCAACUCUGACAUCAUGGAGACUUCACUUAACACCUUCUCCUUGCUAUGUGGGAAUUUCAUUGCAUUUACAAUGUAAAUGAGCUUUGGGCAGCUGCCAUGGUAUCACUGGAAGCAGAGUACACUGGAAGCAAGCCUUAGGUGGAGCACAAAUGGCAUUGCUUCCAUGGUUCCUUUGUCUCUCUCAUUUUAUAUUGUUUUGAUUUCAUAACUUUGAGAUUUCUAUCAGUGAUUUUUGAGUUCUUGUACUAACUGUGUACCAUAACAUAAAGUAGUGACUAUCUUCACAUAACAACUUAGCCUUGCUGUCUGAGUUACUUUUUAUGACUGUAAUAAGAUGCCAUAAGCCCACAGUAACUUAUAGAAGAGUUAGGGUUCCACAGGAUUAGAGCCUAUGAUGGUGGAGCAAUAGGAAAGUAAAUAAGACAAAGCUUGGCACUGCCAAUCAAAACAUAUGUCACUUUGGGUUGCUCUGGAGACAAGACUCGGGGGAAA